RNAcentral lists this transfer RNA (77 nucleotides) under Clostridia bacterium. Its description in RNAcentral is "tRNA-Arg". It matches the Rfam family "tRNA". From Rfam's summary of the family: Transfer RNA (tRNA) molecules are approximately 80 nucleotides in length. Their secondary structure includes four short double-helical elements and three loops (D, anti-codon, and T loops). Further hydrogen bonds mediate the characteristic L-shaped molecular structure. tRNAs have two regions of fundamental functional importance: the anti-codon, which is responsible for specific mRNA codon recognition, and the 3' end, to which the tRNAs corresponding amino acid is attached (by aminoacyl-tRNA synthetases). tRNAs cope with the degeneracy of the genetic code in two manners: having more than one tRNA (with a specific anti-codon) for a particular amino acid; and 'wobble' base-pairing, i.e. permitting non-standard base-pairing at the 3rd anti-codon position. The record is from RNAcentral. Lineage: Bacteria; Bacillati; Bacillota; Clostridia.
GCGCUUGUAGCUCAGCUGGAUAGAGCAACUGCCUUCUAAGCAGUGGGUCGGGAGUUCGAAUCUCUUCAAGCGUGCCA